UAACAUGUGGUUGCUUUGCUUAUUUCACUGUUGAAGAUAUUUAAAAAAACAAACAAAAACAAAAUAAAAAAAACAACAAGAACAGUUGGACUGUGGUCUUUUCCUCAAUGGAAGAGAAAAAUGGAGUUCAAUUAACCCCUGUGUUGCAGGAAUGUAGUGAAUACAAUACUUAUAUAGUACCCGGUCAAUCAAUCUCUUUCCAUGCAAG
Molecule: non-coding RNA, 208 nt
Organism: Pelobates cultripes (western spadefoot toad)
Lineage: Eukaryota; Metazoa; Chordata; Amphibia; Anura; Pelobatidae
Source: the annotation of a GenBank genome assembly